RNAcentral lists this transfer RNA (72 nucleotides) under Bos taurus (domestic cattle). It matches the Rfam family "tRNA". Rfam says of the family: Transfer RNA (tRNA) molecules are approximately 80 nucleotides in length. Lineage: Eukaryota; Metazoa; Chordata; Mammalia; Artiodactyla; Bovidae. The record is from Rfam by way of RNAcentral. RNAcentral also lists the same sequence under 1 other name.
UCCCUCAUAGCUCAGUCAGUAAAGAAUCUGCAUGCAAUGCAGGAGACCCGGGUUCGAUUCCUGGGUGGGGAA